CGGAGCUGGGGGGCUGUGUCCAGAGCCGGGCAUCCGGAUUAGUUAGAGAGUGUACUUUGGAGAAGUUUGGAUUUUCGAUGAACAAGAAGACACUGAUCUCAAUCUACCCAGCAGCUAGGAGGAAGGCUGGCCCCCAGAAAACUGCUGCUGCCACUCAACACCACCUCACACUUUGGGACCAAUGUGAGGGGGGCAUGGGGCUCAAAGCCAUGUCCUCAAUCAGUCCUCAGACUAGCAGGCUACGUGGGCUGGUGGAUCCUAGCUCACCAGAGGUACCAUCCUCAAAGCCCCUGAUUGGAGGAGACAUCCGGCCUCUCCCGUUGGAUAAGACAUGUGAUUUAUGCCAGAAGGAGGCACAGGGAGUUGUCUGAGCAGCUGGCUGGCUGGCUGUACUGGACCUGACUCCUGAGUACUGCCUUGUUCCGAUCUCUGCUUCACCCCAGCUACUGACUCCAUCUCUGAGCCAUGGCUUGACUCCUGACUCUGACACCUGGCUUUCAACGCCUGCUCUGACCACAGGGCCUGACUGCCUAUGUCGCCAUCCAUGACAAGUGGUUCACAUUGUUUCUGAUCAGACUCUCUACAUAUGGA
Long non-coding RNA from Mauremys mutica (yellowpond turtle), 591 nucleotides. RefSeq lists it as uncharacterized. Lineage: Eukaryota; Metazoa; Chordata; Testudines; Geoemydidae. The transcript has 3 exons. The record is from RefSeq and is a predicted model, not a curated record.